Molecule: long non-coding RNA, 850 nt
Organism: Apis florea (little honeybee)
Lineage: Eukaryota; Metazoa; Arthropoda; Insecta; Hymenoptera; Apidae
Source: RefSeq, a predicted model, not a curated record
AUAUGCUCGUUUGAAUCACUCUGCCUUUGUUUUUCAAGCGAAAAAACAAAGUCGCUCUUGAGCUCGAUUCGAAAAGAUGAUGAUUUUGACACGAAACGAGUGUUACGAGUAUAAUAAAUCCAUCGAAAGAAUUCCUAGAUUCUAGAACCUAGAACGAACGUCGCACGAGUGCGACGAGUAAAAUGGCGAUCAAAAUUAACCAUUGUCGGUUCUGAUCUGUCGUAAUUUCCUUUCCAAUGGACAAAUUAUUCUUGAUGGAUCGAAUGAUAAGUGUUAAUGAAUAUGAUAUCUCUUCCUAUAACGAUAAAUUAAUAUUAAAAUUUCAAAGAUUUAUUUGAGCAAUGUCGAUCUCUGAUUAAAUUGUGAAAGCGAAGGAACUUGAAUAUCUCAUUCAUAUAUAACUAUAAAUAGAUUUCGAUUAACGUGCGAUUACGAUGUGUAAAAUGAUGACGCGAGCGUUUAAUGAAAACCAAAAUUUUAGCUUAAGAUCAUAAACAUAUAGCCCUAAGUUCAACUAACGAACAAUGUUACUUGUGACAAUUAUCUAAAAAUUUUGAUCGCUGAUUCAAUUGGAAACUUAGAAUUUGAAAUAUCGAGUAUUUGUUCAAGCGAUUGAUUUGGCGAGGAAAAAGCAUUUGGGAAUCGAAACGUUUGACGAAACAUUCUUCGCAAUUACUUCGAUCGCCUCUUUUGCAACAACAAGCGUGAUCACGUUCGAAAGUGAUCGAUUGCGUAAUAUCUUUAGAAAUACGAGUGAAUGAAACUUACGAGCGAUAGAAUACCGAGUGAUAGAUAUCGUUUAAUCGUGCGAGGAAAAUAUCGUUAAAUUACACUAACUGUGCGUACUUGG